UCAAUGUGUAUAUCUGACUUUCCAUAGCUGAGUCUAAAACAGCAAAAGCAUCCCAAGUUUUGGUAAGCAGUUCUCUCCUUUUCACCCUGGACCCUUAACCCUCCUCGCCCUGCACUGCCUGGCUGGUCUGGGAGGGGACUUUAACCCCCACCACCACUCUUCCCCAUCCAACUCCCUGCCGGGACAAUGUGCAUAUCACAGUCAGUUCCAAAACAAACAUGCAAAACCACCCCGUUUCAGCCCUCAGCCUCAGGGCUGAGAUUCAGGCUCAGGUCUAGGGGUUGGGGAAUAUUAAAGUUUACAAGUACAAUCUUACUCCAUCCAUACACACACAUGGAGAAGCCGGGAGAGAACGCGGCCAGAGAUGGGCUCCUGCCCUUGAACCCCUGCUGGGGUGGAAGCAGGUGCACAAUGCUUCUUUGAGUAUCUCCGUGUCUGUGGCUGAUAUCCAGAUGCAAGGCUUCUUCUGGGCAUCCCUGGGAAUGGGAGUGCAUAGACAUACUGGUCAAAUUACAGCACAGCCUCUACACCUUUACUGAAGAUGGAAAACUGUUUUCCAAAGUUGACUUGCCUAACAUGAUGUAACUAUCAUGCAAAAAUAAAAAUAAAAUUAAGAAUAAAAAUUUAAAAAUGAAA
Gorilla gorilla gorilla (western lowland gorilla) is the source of this 636-nucleotide long non-coding RNA. RefSeq lists it as uncharacterized. The transcript is spliced from 2 exons. NCBI's taxonomy places the organism in Eukaryota, Metazoa, Chordata, Mammalia, Primates, Hominidae. The record is from RefSeq and is a predicted model, not a curated record.